GUAGACAACAGGCUAAGUAUAGAGGAAGGUGUAACAGUAGACAACAGGCUAAGUACAGAGGAAGGUGUAACAGUAGACAACAGGCUAAGUAUAGAGGAAGGUGUAACAGUAGACAACAGGCUAAGUAUAGAGGAAGGUGUAACAGUAGACAACAGGCUAAGUAUAGAGGAAGGUGUAACAGUAGACAACAGGCUAAGUAUAGAGGAAGGUGUAACAGUAGACAACAGGCUAAGUAUAGAGGAAGGUGUAACAGUAGACAACAGGCUAAGUACAGAGGAAGGUGUAACAGUAGACAACAGGCUAAGUAUAGAGGAAGGUGUAACAGUAGACAACAGGCUAAGUAUAGAGGAAGGUGUAACAGUAGACAACAGGCUAAGUACAGAGGAAGGUGUAACAGUAGAGAACAGGCUAAGUAUAGAGGAAGGUGUAACAGUAGACAACAGGCUAAGUACAGAGGAAGGUGUAACAGUAGA
Oncorhynchus mykiss (rainbow trout) is the source of this 473-nucleotide non-coding RNA. NCBI's taxonomy places the organism in Eukaryota, Metazoa, Chordata, Actinopteri, Salmoniformes, Salmonidae. The record is from RefSeq and is a predicted model, not a curated record.